Gossypium arboreum is the source of this 1504-nucleotide RNA transcript. It is a transcript of the gene named iron-sulfur assembly protein IscA-like 1, mitochondrial, with no coding region annotated. The transcript is spliced from 5 exons. Lineage: Eukaryota; Viridiplantae; Streptophyta; Magnoliopsida; Malvales; Malvaceae. The record is from RefSeq and is a predicted model, not a curated record.
AAUACUCAGCCUAACCCAAUUACCCUAAUCAUAAAAAUUACAAAUAAUUUAAUAAAAAAUAAAAAUAUAAAACUACUCUAAAACUAAAACAGACGACAGAAAUUUCAAAUACCCAAAAUUCCUAAGACCAAACCUUGAAAUCCCUAAUUGAAAUCCCAAAAUCCCUAUUGUCACUACCAGGCCAGCCACCUUCGUGAAUCGUCUGGCGUCUACCAGGUCACCUUCACCGGCGAGUUGAGAUUUGUUCACAAAUCCAUGGCUUCUCGAUUAUUCGCGACUGCUGCAGAGAAAAUAGGGCAACCGGCUUUGAGGCGGCAAGUUCUGACGUUGACUGAUGCAGCAGCCUCCAGAAUACAUCACCUUCUUCAACAGCGCCAAAGAUCGUUCCUUCGAUUGGGUGUUAAGGCUCGUGGAUGUAAUGGUUUAUCUUACACCCUCAAUUACGCCGAUGAGAAAGGAAAGUUUGAUGAAUUAGUUGAGGACAAGGGCGUUAAAAUACUAAUUGAUCCAAAAGCUUUGAUGCAUGUGAUUGGGACCAAGAUGGAUUUUGUAGAUGAUAAACUCAGGUCUGAGUUUAUUUUUAUCAACCCAAACUCCAAAGGGCAAUGUGGAUGUGGCGAAUCUUUCAUGACAACAGCUGGUAGCACAGCUAAGCAGGGUAGUAAUUGAGGAUUUCAACACCCUUGUAAUAAGAUAAGAUUUUAACUAACCUUCAUGAUUCCAGGAUGCUUGCUUUCCUAAUUCACCACUCAAAAUAAGCUACAAGGAAAAAUGUUUCCAUGUCAUUUAUAGGAGUUGCUGCCAACUGAUUGUAUUAGCAUAGGUUCAGAUAUUUCUGUAUCGCAGAUGUUGUUUUCUAAUUGUUUUGUCUAUACCAUAUUAUGUUACAUAAGUUAUUUUGCAAGUAUGUCAUUUACAUCUGUACUUUUACUUUUCUUUUCUUUUGCUGGUCCAAAUGGAUGAAAUAAAAAGGGGGGUUGGUUGUAUGGAGGGAGAGGCCAUGGAUUUGGCAUAUUAAAUAGUUGUUUCUUCAUUUUAAGAAGCUUGAGAGGUGGGAGAGUGGUAAAUGCGAGAAAGUUGUGCUCGUAACAGCAAUUUGGGGAAGAAUUCGGAUUGGUCAUUACACAAUCCUAAAGAGAUGAAUGAUGUCUGCAAUAGGCUUACAGCAAGGUUGGGGCUCGAGGGAUAACGCUAAAUAUAGCGAAGAGUUGGGAAGCAAUAAAGGUGAAAAGAGAGAAAACUGCAUAUGUUACAAGUAGGUAGUAAACAAAAUGGAUUGUUAGGGUAUAUGGCAUACUUGGAUCUAGAGAUGUUUUACUACUUGGGGCUACCUUUGUAGAAAUAAGAAAUCAGCAGAGUUUCUUGGAAUUGAAGUUGCAGUUUCAAACUGUAUUAGCUUUUAUGUAGUACAACAUCAAUAUCAAUGUCCAUCGUCUUAGGUACUUUUUUAUUUGUUUACUUUUGUACAUUGGGUUGAAUGUUAGUGGUAUACAUUUAAGCUAAA